UGGGGAAUAUUGGACAAUGGGGGCAACCCUGAUCCAGCAAUGCCGCGUGUGUGAAGAAGGUUUUCGGAUUGUAAAGCACUUUCGGCGGGGACGAUGAUGACGGUACCCGCAGAAGAAGCCCCGGCUAACUUCGUGCCAGCAGCCGCGGUAAUACGAAGGGGGCUAGCGUUGCUCGGAAUGACUGGGCGUAAAGGGCGUGUAGGCGGUUUGUACAGUCAGAUGUGAAAUCCCCGGGCUUAACCUGGGAGCUGCAUUUGAGACGUGCAGACUAGAGUGUGAGAGAGGGUUGUGGAGUUCCCAGUGUAGAGGUGAAAUUCGUAGAUAUUGGGAAGAACACCGGUGGCGAAGGCGGCAACCUGGCUCAUUACUGACGCUGAGGCGCGAAAGC
Molecule: ribosomal RNA, 388 nt
Filed under: uncultured bacterium
Lineage: Bacteria
Description: partial 16S ribosomal RNA
Rfam family: Bacterial small subunit ribosomal RNA
Source: RNAcentral